GAACGAACGCUGGCGGCAGGCCUAACACAUGCAAGUCGAACGAGUAAGAGCCGUAGCAAUACGGAGUUCUGCUAGUGGCGCACGGGUGAGUAACGCGUGGGAACGUGCCUUGGAGUUCGGGAUAACAGUUGAAACGACUGCUAAUACCGAAUAUUCCCUCAGGGGGGAAAGAUUUAUCGCUCCAAGAUCGGCCCGCGUAAGAUUAGGUAGUUGGUGGGGUAAUGGCCUACCAAGCCUACGAUCUUUAGCUGGUCUGAGAGGACGACCAGCCACACUGGAACUGAGACACGGUCCAGACUCCUACGGGAGGCAGCAGUGGGGAAUAUUGGACAAUGGGCGAAAGCCUGAUCCAGCCAUGCCGCGUGAAUGAUGAAGGCCUUAGGGUUGUAAAAUUCUUUUGCAGGGGAAGAUAAUGACGGUACCCUGCGAAUAAGCUCCGGCUAACUUCGUG
This 451-nucleotide ribosomal RNA is filed under the name uncultured bacterium. RNAcentral's name for it is "bacterial SSU rRNA". It matches the Rfam family "Bacterial small subunit ribosomal RNA", at positions 27 to 507 of the family's 1533-position model. The record is from RNAcentral.